RNAcentral lists this ribosomal RNA (832 nucleotides) under Sorites sp. 1629. RNAcentral's name for it is "SSU rRNA". It matches the Rfam family "Eukaryotic small subunit ribosomal RNA", at positions 1160 to 1816 of the family's 1831-position model. Lineage: Eukaryota; Foraminifera; Miliolida; Soritidae. The record is from RNAcentral.
AAGGGCACCACAAGAACGCGUGGAGCAUGUGGCUUAAUUUGACUCAACCCGGGAAAUCUUACCAGGUCCAGACAUAUUGAGGAUUGACAGGCGAUAGUAUAUAAAAUAUAUUUUUAUAUGCAUAAAAAUGAUAGUCCUUUCAUGAUUAUAUGAUAGGUGGUGCAUGGCCGUUCUUAGUUCGUGGAGUGAUUUGUCUGCUUAAUUGCGUUUCAGUAAAUAAAAUAUAUAAUAUAUUAUAAUAUUUAGUUCUGCCUUUAUGGAUUUAAAGUGAACAUAUUAUAUAUAUUAUUAUAUAAUAAAUGAAUGCAACGAACGUGACCGUAACCUUUUAUUGCUAUUGUAAUUAUAAUUAUAGCAUAAAAUUAAAGGAACCGCUGUCAUUACUAAAUAUGUGUUAAAAUAGAGUAAGAUUAUGGCAAUAACAGGUCUGUGAUGCCCUCAGAUGUUCUGGGCUGCACACGUGCUACAAUAAUUACAUUAAUAAGUAUAUAUACUUUAUAAUAUAUAAUAUUAUAUUUAACCUAUUUCGAAAGUAAAUCGGUAAUCAUUUAAAAAUCGUGAUUAAUUAAUAUAAAUAUAAUUAAUUUAAGGUGGGGAUAGUGUAUUGUUAAUUAUUACACUUGGCCUUAACUAGGAAUGCCUUGUACUCUUCUUUGGUUUAACAUACCAAGAGGAAUACGUCCCUGCCCUUUGUACACACCGCCCGUCGCUCUUACCGAUGAAUUAUAUUAUAAAUCUAAGGGAUUUAUUAUAAUUAAAAUAUAAAAAACUUAUAUACAUAAUGUGAUUUAAAGGAAAGAGAAGUCGUAACAAGGCAUCAGUAGGUGAACCU